RNAcentral lists this ribosomal RNA (457 nucleotides) under Ptychadena cf. mossambica BMNH 2018.5759. RNAcentral describes it as "partial large subunit ribosomal RNA". It matches the Rfam family "Bacterial large subunit ribosomal RNA", at positions 1978 to 2601 of the family's 2925-position model. Lineage: Eukaryota; Metazoa; Chordata; Amphibia; Anura; Ptychadenidae. The record is from RNAcentral.
AAAUUAGGACUAGAAUCAAAGGCAUCACGAGGGCCUCACUGUCUCCUUUUUCCAAUCAGUGAAACUGAUCUCCCCGUGAAGAAGCGGGGAUAACCUUAUAAGACGAGAAGACCCCAUGGAGCUUCAAACUCAACAGCUACCCCAUUCAAACUACACGAUAAUUUAAGGGAUUUAGCUAUUAGUUUUGGGUUGGGGUGACCACGGAGAAUAGCAAAACCUCCGCAAUGAAAGAAUUAAAAUUCUUAUCCAAGAGCAACACCUCUAAGAAUUAACAAAUUAACACACAGUGAUCCGAUAUCUUUCGAUCAAUGAACCAAGUUACCCUGGGGAUAACAGCGCCAUCCACUUUGAGAGUUCAUAUCGACAAGUGGGUUUACGACCUCGAUGUUGGAUCAGGGUAUCCCAGUGGUGCAGCCGCUACUAAAGGUUCGUUUGUUCAACGAUUAAAACCCUACGU